Non-coding RNA from Puccinia sorghi, 66 nucleotides. The record is from the annotation of a GenBank genome assembly. NCBI's taxonomy places the organism in Eukaryota, Fungi, Basidiomycota, Pucciniomycetes, Pucciniales, Pucciniaceae.
UGAUUCAGAGUAUUUAAUUGUCAGAAUUCUGGCCUUUCUGUCCGCUCACAUGUCCCCUCAGUAUCA